UUGCUCGCUUCAGCAGCACAUAUACUAAAAUUGGAGCAAUACAGAGAUUAGCAUGGCCCCUGCGCGAGGAUGACACACAAAUUCAUGAAGCAUUCCAUAUUUUA
This is a small nuclear RNA of Mesoplodon densirostris (Blainville's beaked whale), 104 nucleotides long. Lineage: Eukaryota; Metazoa; Chordata; Mammalia; Artiodactyla; Ziphiidae. The record is from RefSeq and is a predicted model, not a curated record.